CCUAUCAACUGUCGAAUGGUAGGAUAGAGGCCUACCAUGGUGAUAACGGGUAACGGGGAAUUAGGGUUUCGAUUCCG
Molecule: non-coding RNA, 77 nt
Filed under: Allomyces macrogynus ATCC 38327
Lineage: Eukaryota; Fungi; Blastocladiomycota; Blastocladiomycetes; Blastocladiales; Blastocladiaceae
Description: Eukaryotic small subunit ribosomal RNA
Rfam family: Eukaryotic small subunit ribosomal RNA
Source: Rfam by way of RNAcentral